Molecule: long non-coding RNA, 669 nt
Organism: Poecilia reticulata (guppy)
Lineage: Eukaryota; Metazoa; Chordata; Actinopteri; Cyprinodontiformes; Poeciliidae
Source: RefSeq, a predicted model, not a curated record
CCGGUGAGCUGCAAUCGACCCAUGUCUUUUUAAAACGUCCUCGACCUGAUACUUCACCGUCCUUAUAAGUAAAACCUCUCGUAAAGAUACAGACAUGCGAGGGAAGACGCAAAUCCCAGGCUGAAUAAUGUCAGCAAGGAUGAACACAGCCAAUUUAAACAAAUGUGUUCGUCCUGGCACGGUGUGCUGCUGUAUGAUAGACCGAAUGGAUCAGGAGAGAAACUCCAGACUCAUCAGAAUCUACAGAACCAGACAUGAGCCUCUUCAUCCCUCAAUCAUCUCCUGAGGCUGAUAUGGAUCCAUCCAGAUCUGGUUGCCUGUUUUCUGGUUACCCAGCCAUGACGUCUUGGGUACCUUCCCCUAGAUGCCUGAAAGCCAAGUUUAAUCCUUUUCCGUAAAUUCACCUGCAAUUCAGAAGUUUCCGACCGGCCGUUCUACCUACACCCCGCCACCUUCAAAGAGGGCGUCCUGUCCGCCCUCCAACGCCACCUUCCGAUCCACCAGGCCUCACGUGGAGACGACUCAUUAGUUUGAACCCCUGAACCUACCAGUCCCCUCCAAGCCGUUUUGAACGCACAGAGCCAUGCUCUGAGAGCAGCCGAGCAGUUCCUGGACCAGCUUCACUUUCUGUUGCUUGACUUCUGUAAAUAAACUUUUCAUUUUUUAUAA